This 450-nucleotide ribosomal RNA is filed under the name uncultured bacterium. RNAcentral's name for it is "bacterial SSU rRNA". It matches the Rfam family "Bacterial small subunit ribosomal RNA", at positions 355 to 825 of the family's 1533-position model. The record is from RNAcentral.
UCAAGAAACUUCCACAAUGGGCGAAAGCCUGAUGGAGCGACGUCGCGUGAUGGACGAAGUGCUUCGGCACGUAAACAUCUUUUAUGUGGGAUGAAAUUAUUGACAGUACCACAUGAAUAAGGGGCUCCUAACUCUGUGCCAGCAGGAGCGGUAAUACAGAGGCCCCAAGCGUUAUCCGGAAUCACUGGGCGUAAAGGGUGUCGAGGCGGUUGUAUUAGUCGUUCGUAAAAUCUACGAGCUUAACUUGUAGGCGGCGAACGAAACGGUACGACUUGAGGUUUGGAGAGGUGCGUGGAACUCACGGUGUAGGGGUGAAAUCCGUUGAUAUCGUGGGGAACACCAAAGGCGAAGGCAGCGCACUGGCCAAAAUCUGACGCUCACACACGAAAGCUAGGGUAGCGAAGAGGAUUAGAUACCCGCGUAGUCCCUGAGCGGGCUGGCAAGGCGCAU